RNAcentral lists this long non-coding RNA (379 nucleotides) under Sorghum bicolor (sorghum). RNAcentral's name for it is "long non-coding RNA (SBIC_LNC016666)". The record is from RNAcentral. Lineage: Eukaryota; Viridiplantae; Streptophyta; Magnoliopsida; Poales; Poaceae.
CCCGAGAGGAGAUGGAUUGGUUUCCCGCUCAUGGCUCGGCUCUCGAUCGAUAUGGUCAGCGAGACCCUCGCUCGCAGCCACGGCCGCUGCCGUCGCGUCGGCACUUGCGGCAGCCGAGCGCCGCCCAAGGAAAGCAGGGGAACUGCAUGCGGCCGAAGUUGGCGGCGUUCUGCUGUACAAGCCGAAGGAUGAACGAACUAGCAGGAGAGUACGCACAUCAAGUUCAGAUUCAGAGGCACGGAGACCGGGGAACUCUUCUGGUACGUAGAUAGUAGCCGUGCCCGAUCGAUCUGGGCUGCAAAACAAGUACAGUGUUGUUCCAGGCCGCGAGGCACGAGACGUUUAGAGCCCACAAGGCCAUAACUCACAAGUCACGCAC